Octopus bimaculoides (California two-spot octopus) is the source of this 757-nucleotide long non-coding RNA. RefSeq lists it as uncharacterized. The record is from RefSeq and is a predicted model, not a curated record. Lineage: Eukaryota; Metazoa; Mollusca; Cephalopoda; Octopoda; Octopodidae.
AUUUAUUUGGAGAAACGAAAUAUGAAAGAAACGACUAUAUUCUGCCUAUAUAUUAGUUUCAAUAUAUAUUAGUUUCAGCAAAGUCGGGGGCGGGACUAAGUCAAUUAAAUCAACCCCAGGGUGCAACUGGUACUUAUUUUAUCGACUCUGAAAAGAUGAAAUCCAAAGUCGACCCCGGAUGAAUUUGAACUCAGAACAUAAAGACGGACAAAAUGCUUAGCAGCAUUUUGUCCGGCGUGCUAACGAUUCUGCCAGCCCCUUGAUUUCUAUUUAUAUACUGAAUCCACUUAAGAAGACUAAGAGAAAAAGAUGUUUUAUAUGACACAUUCUACCAGUGUUCCAAGUUUCAAAGUGUUUCGUUAAUGAAAAAUGUGGGCCCCCGUUUUAAAAAAGAUCCGAAAUAUUCCCUACCCGCAAAAUUUUGUGUUAUCGGUCACUUAUUCGCCAUGGAAACCGAGUAAACAACCUUUGAAAUCCACGGGCUCAAGAGAAAAAAGACAAAAAAGUGAGAUUUACUAAAAUCGUCAAACAGUUAAUUCUACUGACAACCUAUUACGAUUUAUUCUGCUCUCCGUCCGCAACUUGAAACUACUUAUUACUGAGGACGGUAAUUUCUCCAGACAAGGCGUUGACCAGCUAGUGGAACAUUGGUGAUAACUCGAGAAUAAUGAACGAGAAUACAUUAGUUACCGAUUAGUUAAAAAUGCUGAUGAAAAAAAAAGGAUUAAAAUAAAUGGAGAAAAAUACGUCUUUAUUU